Cyprinus carpio carpio is the source of this 613-nucleotide long non-coding RNA. Lineage: Eukaryota; Metazoa; Chordata; Actinopteri; Cypriniformes; Cyprinidae. The record is from Ensembl.
GCACGCAAGUGAUUCUGUGCGAAGAUGUACACUUCAUUUUCAUGGGAAAUGAAGGACGCAUUUGAAGUCGCUUUUUUGGAAUUACGUCAGCCUUCGUCGUGACGCUGUGACGCAAUCGCACUAAACAUCCGCACUUCGGAGUCCAUGCACUUAAGUUUGGGACACAGCUACAGUUAGACACAACUGUGGCAGCUCUUCAUCAACGCUCAUCUUUUACAGCAAGUCACAGGACAUCGCAUACAAACCAUGACAAGUUGGGGGAGCCUGGAUGAAGUGGGUGAAGCAUGGUGGGAGUCGGCAUAUAAGCUGUUUCUUGAAAACGAUCCAAUGAGAACGACUCUGAGUAAUGUUGCUUAUUAUAUAAGUGGCGAUAACUGGGAUGAUUAUGGAUUCAGCCGUGACACACACGUUCCUCCAACUGGGGAAUUCCGUGGUGUUUCUAGAAAGGCAAUCUUGGUGGUGAUUUCAAGAAAAAGGAGCAUGGAGUGGGGUGACUGGAAGAAGUUACAUGGGACAAGAUCUGAUACUGAACCUGAGGAUCUAAACCACUCGGACAAGAGAGUUAUAAACUGGAUUACUGAAGAGAUAUAUAACGAGGACGGGAGCCCAAAAC